ACUCAAAUGAAUUGACGGGGACCCGCACAAGUAGGGGAACGUGUGGUUUAAUUCGAGACAAAACGAAAAACCUCACCAGGGUUUGAAAUGUAUGUUUUAGGACUCCGAAAGGGGAACAAACCGCAAGGUAGCAUACACAGGUGCUGCAUGGCUGUCGUCAGCUCGUGUCGUGAGAUGUCGUCUUAAGUGACUCAACGAGCGCAACCCUCAUCACUAGUUGUAUCACUCUAGUGAAACUGCCGCGUAUAACGCGGAGGAAGGCGAGGAUGACGUCAAGUCAUCAUAGCCCUUAUGUCCUGGGCUACACACACGUUACAAUGCAUAGGAACAAUGGGCUGCGAGCUCGCGAGAGUAAGCUAAUCCCCUAAAACUAUGCUCAGUUCAGAUUGUAGUCUGAAAUUCGACUGCAUGAAGAUGGACUUACUAGUAAUCAGCAGAUCAGCAUGCUGCGGUGAAUACGUUCUCGGGUCUUGCACACACCGCCCGU
RNAcentral lists this ribosomal RNA (487 nucleotides) under uncultured bacterium. RNAcentral's name for it is "partial 16S ribosomal RNA". It matches the Rfam family "Bacterial small subunit ribosomal RNA", at positions 899 to 1397 of the family's 1533-position model. The record is from RNAcentral.